This 384-nucleotide ribosomal RNA is filed under the name uncultured bacterium. RNAcentral's name for it is "bacterial SSU rRNA". It matches the Rfam family "Bacterial small subunit ribosomal RNA", at positions 417 to 793 of the family's 1533-position model. The record is from RNAcentral.
UUCGGGUUGUAAAGUACUUUCAGCAGUGAGGAAGGUGGGUAUGUUAAUAGCAUAUUCAUUUGACGUUAGCUGCAGAAGAAGCACCGGCUAACUCCGUGCCAGCAGCCGCGGUAAUACGGAGGGUGCGAGCGUUAAUCGGAAUUACUGGGCGUAAAGCGCAUGCAGGUGGUUUGUUAAGUCAGAUGUGAAAGCCCGGGGCUCAACCUCGGAAUUGCAUUUGAAACUGGCAAACUAGAGUACUGUAGAGGGGGAUAGAAUUUCAGGUGUAGCGGUGAAAUGCGUAGAGAUCUGAAGGAAUACCGGUGGCGAAGGCGGCCCCCUGGACAGAUACUGACACUCAGAUGCGAAAGCGUGGGGAGCAAACAGGAUUAGAUACCCUGGUAG